CUGGAGGUAUCAGAAGUGCGAAUGCUGACAUAAGUAACGAUAAAGCGGGUGAAAAGCCCGCUCGCCGGAAGACCAAGGGUUCCUGUCCAACGUUAAUCGGGGCAGGGUGAGUCGACCCCUAAGGCGAGGCCGAAAGGCGUAGUCGAUGGGAAACAGGUUAAUAUUCCUGUACUUGGUGUUACUGCGAAGGGGGGACGGAGAAGGCUAUGUUGGCCGGGCGACGGUUGUCCCGGUUUAAGCGUGUAGGCUGGUUUUCCAGGCAAAUCCGGAAAAUCAAGGCUGAGGCGUGAUGACGAGGCACUACGGUGCUGAAGCAACAAAUGCCCUGCUUCCAGGAAAAGCCUCUAAGCAUCAGGUAACAUCAAAUCGUACCCCAAACCGACACAGGUGGUCAGGUAGAGAAUACCAAGGCGCUUGAGAGAACUCGGGUGAAGGAACUAGGCAAAAUGGUGCCGUAACUUCGGGAGAAGGCACGCUGAUAUGUAGGUGAAGUCCCUCGCGGAUGGAGCUGAAAUCAGUCGAAGAUACCAGCUGGCUGCAACUGUUUAUUAAAAACACAGCACUGUGCAAACACGAAAGUGGACGUAUACGGUGUGACGCCUGCCCGGUGCCGGAAGGUUAAUUGAUGGGGUCAGCGCAAGCGAAGCUCUUGAUCGAAGCCCCGGUAAACGGCGGCCGUAACUAUAACGGUCCUAAGGUAGCGAAAUUCCUUGUCGGGUAAGUUCCGACCUGCACGAAUGGCGUAAUGAUGGCCAGGCUGUCUCCACCCGAGACUCAGUGAAAUUGAACUCGCUGUGAAGAUGCAGUGUACCCGCGGCAAGACGGAAAGACCCCGUGAACCUUUACUAUAGCUUGACACUGAACAUUGAGCCUUGAUGUGUAGGAUAGGUGGGAGGCUUUGAAGUGUGGACGCCAGUCUGCAUGGAGCCGGCCUUGAAAUACCACCCUUUAAUGUUUGAUGUUCUAACGUUGACCCGUGAUCCGGGUUGCGGACAGUGUCUGGUGGGUAGUUUGACUGGGGCGGUCUCCUCCUAAAGAGUAACGGAGGAGCACGAAGGUUGGCUAAUCCUGGUCGGACAUCAGGAGGUUAGUGCAAUGGCAUAAGCCAGCUUGACUGCGAGCGUGACGGCGCGAGCAGGUGCGAAAGCAGGUCAUAGUGAUCCGGUGGUUCUGAAUGGAAGGGCCAUCGCUCAACGGAUAAAAGGUACUCCGGGGAUAA
Molecule: ribosomal RNA, 1219 nt
Filed under: Escherichia coli
Lineage: Bacteria; Pseudomonadati; Pseudomonadota; Gammaproteobacteria; Enterobacterales; Enterobacteriaceae
Description: partial 23S ribosomal RNA
Rfam family: Bacterial large subunit ribosomal RNA
Source: RNAcentral